UACGUAGGGUGCAAGCGUCGUCCGGAAUUAUUGGGCGUAAAGAGCUCGUAGGCGGUCUGUCGCGUCGGCUGUGAAAUCCCGAGGCUCAACCUCGGGUCUGCAGUCGAUACGGGCAAACUAGAGUAUUGCAGGGGAGACUGGAAUUCCUGGUGUAGCGGUGAAAUGCGCAGAUAUCAGGAGGAACACCGGUGGCGAAGGCGGGUCUCUGGGCAAUAACUGACGCUGAGGAGCGAAAGCGUGGGGAGCGAACAGG
This 253-nucleotide ribosomal RNA is filed under the name uncultured bacterium. Its description in RNAcentral is "partial 16S ribosomal RNA". It matches the Rfam family "Bacterial small subunit ribosomal RNA", at positions 524 to 776 of the family's 1533-position model. The record is from RNAcentral.